This 185-nucleotide microRNA precursor is filed under the name Populus trichocarpa (black cottonwood). RNAcentral describes it as "miR7828 stem-loop (ptc-MIR7828)". The record is from miRBase by way of RNAcentral. Lineage: Eukaryota; Viridiplantae; Streptophyta; Magnoliopsida; Malpighiales; Salicaceae.
UUUUUUUAAAAUGAUGACAUGGACACCAAAAUCUUACAAGAAUAAUGGUUAAUGUUGUGAGUGAGCAUAAAAUUUGGGAUGUGAAUAUGUGUUUCUUGGGUUAAUUGGUGUCAUGGCAUACCUAGAGUGAUAAAGACCUAAUUUUUUUGUAAGUUUUUGGUGUCCAUGUCAUCAUUUAAUGGAUA